CCAUUCAGAAAACUAUGUUUUAUGUACUUUAUCUUGAAGACUAACCACAAACAAUGUUUUUCAUUGAAAAGCAUUGUUUGUGGUUAGUCUUCAAGAUAAUUAAUAAAAGUACAUAAAAAAGUUUUCUGAAUGG
Molecule: non-coding RNA, 133 nt
Organism: Paramuricea clavata
Lineage: Eukaryota; Metazoa; Cnidaria; Anthozoa; Malacalcyonacea; Plexauridae
Source: the annotation of a GenBank genome assembly